GACGAACGCUGGCGGCGUGCUUAACACAUGCAAGUCGAACGGAGAGGCCCUGCUUUUGUGGGGUGCUCGAGUGGCGAACGGGUGAGUAACACGUGAGUAACCUGCCCUUGACUUUGGGAUAACUUCAGGAAACUGGGGCUAAUACCGGAUAGGAGCUCCUGCUGCAUGGUGGGGGUUGGAAAGUUUCGGCGGUUGGGGAUGGACUCGCGGCUUAUCAGCUUGUUGGUGGGGUAGUGGCUUACCAAGGCUUUGACGGGUAGCCGGCCUGAGCGGGUGACCGGCCACAUUGGGACUGAGAUACGGCCCAGACUCCUACGGGAGGCAGCAGUGGGGAAUAUUGCACAAUGGGCGGAAGCCUGAUGCAGCAACGCCGCGUGCGGGAUGACGGCCUUCGGGUUGUAACCCGCUUUCGCCUGUGACGAAGCGUGAGUGACGGUAAUGGGUAAAGAAGCACCGGCUAACUACGUG
This 468-nucleotide ribosomal RNA is filed under the name uncultured bacterium. Its description in RNAcentral is "partial 16S ribosomal RNA". It matches the Rfam family "Bacterial small subunit ribosomal RNA", at positions 28 to 507 of the family's 1533-position model. The record is from RNAcentral.